RNAcentral lists this long non-coding RNA (1090 nucleotides) under Citrus maxima (pomelo). RNAcentral describes it as "long non-coding RNA (CMAX_LNC003403)". The record is from RNAcentral. Lineage: Eukaryota; Viridiplantae; Streptophyta; Magnoliopsida; Sapindales; Rutaceae.
UAAUAUGGGUUUCAAUUCAUAUUGGCUCACUUUCAUAUUGAUCAGUAGCCUGUUACUUUCACAUUCAACUUGCAUGGCCAUGGCUACUGAAGCUGGUUCUGUGUCUUACAAGUUGGAAAAAACAUGAAUAAUUAAGUAGAUUUUGAUAAAAGACUAGGCACCGAAGAGCAUUUACCCUAUCAUAACUUGACCACUACCAAAUACUUAAAUUAUUGGCGUCUGGUUUUGAACAAGUCUAUAAGUAAUUAAGAUAAUGGUCACCAUUCAUAUUAAAAUAUAUAUGGGCGGGUUAAUCUUAUAUUUAAAGGCCAUGCGUUUUCCUUUUACACUGCUACGGUAGAAACAAAAACUAAUAUGGGUUUCAAUUCAUAUUGGCUCACUUUCAUAUUGAUCAGUAGCCUGUUACUUUCACAUUCAACUUGCAUGGCCAUGGCUACUGAAGCGGCUUCUGUGUCUUACAAGUUGAAAGUAGUGUCCAAGAGAACAGUUGGAACUUUGCCGCCAUCUCCCAAGAAAAACCCUCCAAUUCGCUGGAGACCCGUUCCUCCUCCGCCAGGGUUAUAGCCGCUGUCAUCAUCAAUUGCUCCUCCAUAAUCAGUGCUAUCUUUCACUUUGAUAUCAUCUUGUCUUGUUAAUUUUGUAUCCUUUCAAUACUUUGUAAUAAGUUUUGAGAUCGACACCUUUACCCCCCACAGAUUUUAGGUUUUAUCACUUAUGCCAUUUAGUUUUCAAAAUGCCACGUUGCAUCCUUGACGUCAAUCUUUUAAAUAUGUUUGUUCUAUGGUUGGAAUGAGUUUUUCGGUGAAAAGUUUUGAUAUAGAGAAGGUAUCAUAGUAUUAUGAAAAUUGUUCAGUACAAGUAGUAAAAUCUAAAAACUCUUAAGGGGGAAGAUGUCAUUCUCCAUUUUAUUCUGAUGUACACAGUCUUGAUCUUCUUCAAUAAUUGGUGGAGCUACAUAAGUUUGUUCUGCUUUCUUUGUUUGAUCUUUUGUUGUUGCAAAGACUACAUGAGUUUAUUACAUACCUCCAAAUAAUUGGAAGACAUCUCUUCCCCUACAUAUAUGCAAGUGAUCACUUGAACUCACUUACUC